This is a long non-coding RNA of Carcharodon carcharias (great white shark), 1020 nucleotides long. RefSeq lists it as uncharacterized. The record is from RefSeq and is a predicted model, not a curated record. The transcript has 3 exons. Lineage: Eukaryota; Metazoa; Chordata; Chondrichthyes; Lamniformes; Lamnidae.
CGGCGUCCUGGCUGAUGUGUAAGAAAGGCAGAUUAAUAAAUCACACGCAAAAACGGGGAGAAAAUAGAGAUGGGUAACCCAUUCGUGAAUGCAGUGGAGUGACACUGAUCACCAAAGGCUGGGAAUUGUUUUACACAGCAGCGACAGAGGAAGAAAUAAACCAGAACUUGCCAACAGUAGCAGAGCAGACAAGUCAUAGCAGCAACAGAACAUUGUAUAUGUUAUAUAUAAGAAACAGAUGGUUUGGUUGGUGUUUUACAAUAUCAUAAUCCAACUUUGGGGUUCAGAUAACUUUAUACACAGCCCAGGCUUUGCUUUGUGGUUUAUGACAUCACCUGAACUUUGAGUUUGUGGUGCAGCCUGUAACACACUCCAAGCAACUAUUAUUCAUUUGUAUAAUGUACGUCUUUGUGCCAACUUGUGAAAAUUUGUUUCCUGUCACUCUCAAUGCUGAUGUUGGACGUUCAUUUUUUUGGUACUUUCUGUGAGGAUAGACGUCUCCUGAUUUUCUUACACCCCAAUCCCAAUGUGUCACAUACCACCUAUGGGUGAGACAGGGUGGGGGACCUGUUUUGAACCCACUGCCAAUAUUGUUUUGAGCUGAUACCAACUGAACACUAGCACAAUGGAGGUAGCGAAGGCAUUCCACAUUCCCUGCCAUUAUGCACUUGCUGCUGCAACUUGCUGCAUUAUCUCACCGCCAACAUUACACAGUCACUAUGACACCAAGUUUGUUUCAGAGGAGCUCCUGUGGUGUUGCUCACUGAUUGUUAAGGAUUUGGCACAUAAUUGAUUAGCAGCCAUACCCAAACCUCAUGCUCUGGAAUUUCCUCCCUGAACACCACCAUCUCUCCUCCUUUAACACCUUCAGUAAAACCCACCACUUAGACCCGACCCAAACUGCCUAACCUCUCCUUCUUUGUAAAUCAUCCAUUUUACCCAUGUCUCAAUGAAAGUGCCUUGGGCCUUUUGUUUUCAUGUUAAACGUUAUAAAUAAAUGCAAUUUGUUGCUAUUCAGUA